Bos taurus (domestic cattle) is the source of this 534-nucleotide long non-coding RNA. The record is from Ensembl. NCBI's taxonomy places the organism in Eukaryota, Metazoa, Chordata, Mammalia, Artiodactyla, Bovidae.
CUGCCGUCUAUGGGGUCCCACAGAGUCGAACACGACUGAAGUGACUUAGCAGCAGCAGCAGCAGCAAACAAAGGGAAGAGGGGAGAGAUAAAGGUCAAACACAAGAUCAUUUUGGAAGGGCCCGAAGAAUACAACAUGAUAAAGAGAUUCUGAAAAUUCCAGUCGUUUUUUGACAUCCCAGUUGCCACUCCAGGAUGCGCUGUCCUCCUUACGGAUCCUGAAUGAAGCAGGAGGUGGAGGACUGGACAUGGAGAACAGCAAGUCCGGAGCAGGGUUGCUGGGAUGAGAUUGAAGCAUGACACUGCUCAUACCUGUUGACCAAGUCAUAGAGUGAGCACAGCAUCUGCUCAGUCCUCCUGCAUGAGACUCAGUUGGCUUACCAGAAGAGGCGCACACAAAGAGCUUCAUUGAAUUACUGAAGAUAAGUUUUUCACCAAAAGGAAUUUGAGGCAGCUUGCAAAAUUGAUUAAUAGGAUUGGAAAACAGACUUCAGAGCCAAACUUGGAUUUUAUCUGGAAGAAAGUUUCACCACAG